GGAGAAACAACAACUGACAAGCAGCAAAAACAGCAGUCUCUCGCUGUUGUUUUCACUUCUUUCAGAAAAGGUUUAGUGUCUUCGAAAAACUCCGUUAUCAUCUCCGUUAGCAUCCCGUUUUCAGAAGAGCAGCAACAAAAUAACCUCUCUACAACAGAGGGGAAGCUCCGAAGAUUUCAACAUUUCUGAAGGAAGCUGCUGACAGAAGAAGGAAACACAGAUACUUCCCUGCUGAUACCUUGCACCAUAGCAGAGUUGGAGCGGAUAAAAAAGUUCCUGUCGGACCACAUAACUAGCUGCAUUCAUUGGAUCCACAUACAGUAAAAACAG
Molecule: long non-coding RNA, 330 nt
Organism: Ctenopharyngodon idella (grass carp)
Lineage: Eukaryota; Metazoa; Chordata; Actinopteri; Cypriniformes; Xenocyprididae
Exons: 5
Source: RefSeq, a predicted model, not a curated record